UACGUAGGGAGCGAGCGUUGUCCGGAUUUAUUGGGCGUAAAGAGCUCGUAGGCGGUUUGUCGCGUCUGCCGUGAAAGUCCGGGGCUCAACUCCGGAUCUGCGGUGGGUACGGGCAGACUAGAGUGAUGUAGGGGAGACUGGAAUUCCUGGUGUAGCGGUGAAAUGCGCAGAUAUCAGGAGGAACACCGAUGGCGAAGGCAGGUCUCUGGGCAUUAACUGACGCUGAGGAGCGAAAGCAUGGGGAGCGAACAGG
Molecule: ribosomal RNA, 253 nt
Filed under: uncultured bacterium
Lineage: Bacteria
Description: partial 16S ribosomal RNA
Rfam family: Bacterial small subunit ribosomal RNA
Source: RNAcentral